RNAcentral lists this transfer RNA (51 nucleotides) under Limnius perrisi. Its description in RNAcentral is "tRNA-Gln". Lineage: Eukaryota; Metazoa; Arthropoda; Insecta; Coleoptera; Elmidae. The record is from RNAcentral.
CUCGAUGUUGGAUUAAAGUUUAUUUUUGGUGUAGAAGCUAAAACAUUGAGU